Long non-coding RNA from Manihot esculenta (cassava), 756 nucleotides. RefSeq lists it as uncharacterized. The record is from RefSeq and is a predicted model, not a curated record. The transcript is spliced from 2 exons. Lineage: Eukaryota; Viridiplantae; Streptophyta; Magnoliopsida; Malpighiales; Euphorbiaceae.
AUUCACAUAACUUUGUGCAAUUUGAGCCACUAACUCUCCCUUUACUUUUCAUUGCCUCACCAGCUAGAAGAGAAGAAAAUCUUAUAAAACCACCACAAACCCUAAUCAUAAUUACCAUCAGCCAGCUCCUAAUCACACCUCUCUAACUCUUCUCCCUAUAUCUAUUCAAAGAUAAUUGUUAAAAUGAAAAGAGAAACUCUAGCAUGGCUACUCUUCAUCAUUUGUUGUCAGGCCCUCUCUUAUUGUGCAUGUGAGGUAGCUUUCAUCCCUCACCACAAUUCACCCAUGACUAGGCCAAAACAACUUAUGGAAGUUCACAAAUCAAUGGCGGAACCGAAAAGUAAACCCUACCAAAAAAUACUAGAGAGAAGGGGAUUGCAUGAAGUUGAUGCAAAGAACUUCCAAAAGUUAGCAAAAGGAGUUUAUGGUGGGACAGAUAAUCUUCGUCCUAGAUCUAAAUCUAAAAGUGGAGCUACCUCUUUACUCUUGAAUUCCUCUGCCUUCUUUUCAGCAGUACUUGGAUUGAUCGUCUUCGUUGUCUUCUUCUGAUUGCCAAUUUGGAAGACAUGAUUGCUUUGGGAUAAAAUUAGGAAGCAACUUAAUUUAAAAAAAAAAAAAAAGAUGGUAAAGAUAUUGGUGUAUUGUCUUCUUUCUUUACGUUGUACUUCCUACUUGUUUAAUGGGUGUGAGAGAGAAAAAGCUUGUGUAUAGUUAAAUGUUUGAAAAAAUAGCAAUGUGCCCUUGAAAUUAGAGAGA